UCCUUCGUAACGGGAGGCAGCAGUGGGGAAUAUUGCACAAUGGGCGCAAGCCUGAUGCAGCCACCCCGAGUGAGGGAUGCCGUCCUUCGGGUUGUAUACCUCUUCCAGCAGGGAGGAAGUGGAAGUGACGGUACCUGGAGAAGAAGCACCGGCUAACUACGUGCCAGCAGCCGCGGUAAUACGUAGGGUGCGAGCGUUGUCCGGAAUUAUUGGGCGUAAAGAGCUCGUAGGCGGUGUGUCACGUCCGCCGUGAAAACCUCCGGCUUAACCCGGGGUUGCGGUUGAUACGGGCAUCACUUGAGUUCGGUAGGGGAGAUUGGAAUUCCUGGUGUAGCGGUGAAAUGCGCAGAUAUCAGGAGGAACACCGGUGGCGAAGGCGGGUUUCUGGGCCGAUACUGACGUUGAGGAGCGAAAGCGGGGGAGCAAACAGGAUUAGAUACCCUGGUAGUCCACCCCGUAAACGUUGGGCGCUAGGUGUGGGGUGCUUCCACGUUUCCGUGCCGUAGCUAACGCAU
Molecule: ribosomal RNA, 515 nt
Filed under: uncultured Prauserella sp.
Lineage: Bacteria; Bacillati; Actinomycetota; Actinomycetes; Pseudonocardiales; Pseudonocardiaceae
Description: bacterial SSU rRNA
Rfam family: Bacterial small subunit ribosomal RNA
Source: RNAcentral